RNAcentral lists this ribosomal RNA (877 nucleotides) under uncultured bacterium. Its description in RNAcentral is "bacterial SSU rRNA". It matches the Rfam family "Bacterial small subunit ribosomal RNA", at positions 28 to 895 of the family's 1533-position model. The record is from RNAcentral.
GACGAACGCUGGCGGCGUGCUUAACACAUGCAAGUCAAGGGGAAUCCCGCCUUCGGGCGGGAGGACACUGGCGAACGGGUGAGUAACGCGUAGAUAACCUGCCUCACAGACCGGGAUAUCCCCGGGAAACCGGGAUUAAUACCGGAACGAUCCCGCCUCGCAAGCUGCGGGAUGAAAGCGGGCUUCGGCUCGUGCUGAGAGAUGGGUCUGCGUCUGAUUAGUUUGUUGGUGGGGUAAUGGCCUACCAAGGCAUUGACGGGUAGCUGGUCUGAGAGGAUGGUCAGCCACACUGGGACUGAGACACUGCCCAGACUCCUACGGGAGGCUGCAGUCGAGAAUCUUUAGCAAUGCCCGCAAGGGUGACUAUGCGACGUCGCGUGAGCGAUGAAGGCCUUCGGGUCGUAAAGCUCUGUCAAGCCGGAUGAAAGUUUAGCAUUUGAAUAAAGUGCUAAAUUGACAGUACGGCUAGAGGAAGCCACGGCUAACUCCGUGCCAGCAGCCGCGGUAAUACGGAGGUGGCAAGCGUUGUUCGGAUUUACUGGGUGUAAAGAGUGCGUAGGUGGUCGGGCAAGUCAGGUGUGAAAUCCCACGGCUCAACCGUGGAAUUGCAUUUGAAACUGCUUGGCUUGAGUGCAUGAGAGGAAAGGGGAAUUCUCGGUGUAAGGGUGAAAUCUGUAGAUAUCGAGAGGAACACCAGCGGCGAAGGCGCCUUUCUGGCAUGCAACUGACACUGAGGCACGAAAGCGUGGGGAGCGAACAGGAUUAGAUACCCUGGUAGUCCACGCCGUAAACGAUGGGUACUAGGUGUUUCUGUCUUUGACAGGAGUGCCGCAGCUAACGCAUUAAGUACCCCACCUGGGGAGACGUCGGCAACGAU